ACUGCUGGACAAGGAGUGUUCUGUUGAGCUCAUUUUCACACGAUGAACAACUGGCUUAGAACUGAUUCGGGCAAGGUGAAUCCGACUGUUUAAUUGUCACCUCUUCAUUGCSAGGGCCUCAAAGGGUGGUGCCACAAUGUGAUUUCUGCCCAGUGCUCUGAAUGUCAAAGUGAGGAAAUUCAACUAAGCGCGGGUAAACGGCGGGAGUAACUAUGACUCUCUUAAGGUAGCCAAAUGCCUCGUCAUCCAAUUAGUGACGCGCAUGAAUGGAUUAAUGAGAUUCCCACUGUCCCCAUCUACUGUCCAGCGAAACCACAGCCAAGGGAACGGGCUUGGGUAAAUCAGCGGGGAAAGAAGACCCUGUUGAGCUUGACUCUAAUCUGACUUUGUGAAAUGACUUAGGAGGUGUAGGAUAUGUGGGAGCUCUGGUGAUCUUGAAAUACCACUACUCUUAAUGUCACUUUACUUACUCUAUCAGACUGUGGCCUGCUUCCCAGCAGGUUUUUGUUUCAAGGCAUCUCAUCUGACUUGUUGACUUGCGUAGAGGACGUAGUCAGGUGGGCAGUUUGGCUGGGGCGGCACAUCUGUUAAAGGAUAACGCAGGUGUCCCAAGGUAAGCUCAAGGAGAACAGAAAUCUCAUGUGGAUCAGAA
This 652-nucleotide ribosomal RNA is filed under the name Gambierdiscus australes. RNAcentral's name for it is "partial large subunit ribosomal RNA". The record is from RNAcentral. Lineage: Eukaryota; Dinophyceae; Gonyaulacales; Pyrocystaceae.